RNAcentral lists this ribosomal RNA (442 nucleotides) under uncultured bacterium. Its description in RNAcentral is "partial 16S ribosomal RNA". It matches the Rfam family "Bacterial small subunit ribosomal RNA", at positions 338 to 795 of the family's 1533-position model. The record is from RNAcentral.
CCUACGGGAGGCAGCAGUGGGGAAUAUUGGGCAAUGGGCGCAAGCCUGACCCAGCAACGCCGCGUGAAGGAAGAAGGCUCUCGGGUUGUAAACCUCCUUUUAGCGGGAAGCGCAGAAGACGGUACCUCUUGAAUAAGCCACGGCUAACUACGUGCCAGCAGCCGCGGUAAUACGUAGGUGGCAAGCGUUGUCCGGAAUUACUGGGUGUACAGGGCGUGCAGCCGGGAAGACAAGUCAGAUGUGAAAUCCCGCGGCUCAACCGCGGAACUGCAUUUGAAACUGUUUUUCUUGAGUACCGGAGGGGUCAUCGGAAUGCCUGGUGUAGCGGUGAAAUGCGUAGAUAUAAGGAAGAACACCGGUGGCGAAGGCGGAUGACUGGACGGCAACUGACGGUGAGGCGCGAAAGCGUGGGUAUCGAACAGGAUUAGAUACCCGAGUAGUC